GCAUAUCAAUAAGCGGAGGAAAAGAAACCAACAGGGAUUGCCUCAGUAACGGCGAGUGAAGCGGCAACAGCUCAAAUUUGAAAUCUGGCAGCCUCCGGGCGGCCCGAGUUGUAAUUUGAAGAGGAUGCUUUUGGCGAGGCGCCUUCCGAGUGCCCUGGAACGGGACGCCACAGAGGGUGAGAGCCCCGUAUGGUUGGACGCCGAGCCUCUGUAAAGCUCCUUCGACGAGUCGAGUAGUUUGGGAAUGCUGCUCAAAAUGGGAGGUAAACCCCUUCUAAAGCUAAAUACUGGCCAGAGACCGAUAGCGCACAAGUAGAGUGAUCGAAAGAUGAAAAGCACUUUGAAAAGAGAGUUAAAUAGCACGUGAAAUUGUUGAAAGGGAAGCGCUUGCGACCAGACUUGUGCCCGUCGAAUCAGCCGCCGCUCGUCGGCGGCGCACUUCGGCGGGCUCAGGCCAGCAUCAGUUCGCUGCAGGGGGAGAAAGGCGGCGGGAAUGUGGCUCUUCGGAGUGUUAUAGCCCGCCGCGCAAUACCCCUCGGCGGACUGAGGACCGCGCAUCUGCAAGGAUGCUGGCGUAAUGGUCGUCAGCGACCCGUCUUGAAACACGGACCAAGGAGUCGUCCUAAUAUGCGAGUGUUCGGGUGUAAAACCCCUGCGCGUAAUGAAAGUGAACGGAGGUGAGAGCUUCGGCGCAUCAUCGACCGAUCCUGAUGUUCUCGGAUGGAUUUGAGUAAGAGCAUAUUGGGCCGGACCCGAAAGAAGGUGAACUAUGCCUGUAUAGGGUAAAGCCAGAGGAAACUCUGGUGGAGGCUCGCAGCGGUUUCUGACGUGCAAAUCGAUCGUCAAAUAUGGGCAUGGGGGCGAAAGACUAAUCGAACCUUCUAGUAGCUGGUUUCCGCCGAA
This 903-nucleotide ribosomal RNA is filed under the name Scedosporium boydii. RNAcentral describes it as "LSU rRNA". It matches the Rfam family "Eukaryotic large subunit ribosomal RNA", at positions 38 to 965 of the family's 3401-position model. Lineage: Eukaryota; Fungi; Ascomycota; Sordariomycetes; Microascales; Microascaceae. The record is from RNAcentral.